RNAcentral lists this ribosomal RNA (498 nucleotides) under uncultured bacterium. Its description in RNAcentral is "partial 16S ribosomal RNA". It matches the Rfam family "Bacterial small subunit ribosomal RNA", at positions 28 to 508 of the family's 1533-position model. The record is from RNAcentral.
GAUGAACGCUGGCGGCGUGCCUAAUACAUGCAAGUCGAGCGAACAGACGAGGAGCUUGCUCCUCUGACGUUAGCGGCGGACGGGUGAGUAACACGUGGAUAACCUACCUAUAAGACUGGGAUAACUUCGGGAAACCGGAGCUAAUACCGGAUAAUAUAUUGAACCGCAUGGUUCAAUAGUGAAAGACGGUUUUGCUGUCACUUAUAGCUGGAUCCGCGCCGCAUUAGCUAGUUGGUAAGGUAACGGCUUACCAAGGCGACGAUGCGUAGCCGACCUGGGAGGGUGAUCGGCCACACUGGAACGGGGACACGGUCCAGACUACUACGGGAGGCAGCAGUAGGGAAUCUUCCGCAAUGGGCGAAAGCCUGACGGAGCAACGCCGCGGGAGUGAUGAAGGUCUUCGGAUCGUAAAACUCUGUUAUUAGGGAAGAACAAAUGUGUAAGUAACUAUGCACGUCUUGACGGUACCUAAUCAGAAAGCCACGGCUAACUACGUGC